RNAcentral lists this long non-coding RNA (658 nucleotides) under Helianthus annuus (common sunflower). The record is from RNAcentral. Lineage: Eukaryota; Viridiplantae; Streptophyta; Magnoliopsida; Asterales; Asteraceae.
AAAAAAAAAAAAAAAAAACUAAAAGUCAACAUGGCCGCCCAAAAUGGCCAGUGAGAUGAAAACCCUAUUCCCGGACGUAAGCAUCUUCUAAAUGUUAAUGUUAAUGUUAAUGUUAAUGUUAAUGUUAAUGGAGAUAAUUCAAUUUGAAACCCUAAUUCUUCCUCCUCCUCCCACAAUCCAAUGCACCACAGUUGAUUAUCUUCAAGGGAGUCUUCAAAGCAAUACUGUCUGUCUAGGCUAAGAUAGACGAAAUUGGCAAAAGGAGAUCAGACACUCAUAUGUGGAAAGUAUUUUCUUUGAGGAGUUUGUUUUGGAGAAUUUGAGAUGUAGCAAAGAAGGUCUCACCACUGAAGAAAGAUUAUCCAUUUUUGGCCAUAAAGAAAAAAAGCUUCAUUCUGAUACGAAAUUAAAGAUUUUUUAUGUCAAUCCCUGGAGUAUCCUCAUUGCUUUUUCUGUGGAUUUGGAAUUAUUGAAGAGUAGACGUGUUUGUUUGGAGACAUUUUCAGUUUUGAAUUAUCUUUUGUUUUAUUUUCUUAAAUUCCAUUAUAUUUAAUGUUUGGAGAGAACUGUUAUAAAAUAUGUUGAUUCAACAAAACAUGCUUGGGCCUUUUCUAUUCUUACUUACAUACAACUUAUUUUAAUUUUAAUUAAUAGUGGA